GAUGAACGCUAGCUACAGGCUUAACACAUGCAAGUCGAGCGACCGGCGCACGGGUGCGUAACACGUAUCCAACCUGCCCUUUCCUCGGGGAUAGCCUUUCGAAAUAAAGAUUAAUACCCGAUAUACAGGAUGGGUAUGCAUUCCAUUAGCGUGUUGGUGAGGUAACGGCACACCAAGCCUUCGAUGGAGAGGGGUUCUGAGAGGAAGGGCCCCCACAACUGAACUAAGACACAGUCCAAACGCCUACGGGAGGCAGCAGUGAGUAAUAUUGGGGAAUGGGCGCUAGCCUGAACCAGCCAUGUGGCGUGAAGAAUGAAGGCUUAUGGGACGUAAACUUCUUUUGUAUAAGAAGAGGUAUGAUAUGAAUAAGGAUCGGCUAACUCCGUGCCAGCAGCCGCGGUAAUAC
RNAcentral lists this ribosomal RNA (406 nucleotides) under uncultured bacterium. RNAcentral's name for it is "partial 16S ribosomal RNA". It matches the Rfam family "Bacterial small subunit ribosomal RNA", at positions 28 to 526 of the family's 1533-position model. The record is from RNAcentral.